Molecule: ribosomal RNA, 238 nt
Filed under: uncultured bacterium
Lineage: Bacteria
Description: partial 16S ribosomal RNA
Rfam family: Bacterial small subunit ribosomal RNA
Source: RNAcentral
CGAGUGGCGGACGGGUGAGUAAUGUCUGGGAAACUGCCCGAUAGAGGGGGAUAAUACUGGAAACGGUAGCUAAUACCGCAUAACGUCGCAAGACCAAAGAGGGGGACCUUCGGGCCUCUUGCCAUCGGAUGUGCCCAGAUGGGAUUAGCUAGUAGGUGGGGUAACGGCUCACCUAGGCGACGAUCCCUAGCUGGUCUGAGAGGAUGACCAGCCACACUGGAACUGAGACACGGUCCAG